This 624-nucleotide ribosomal RNA is filed under the name Vibrio cholerae. RNAcentral describes it as "partial 23S ribosomal RNA". It matches the Rfam family "Bacterial large subunit ribosomal RNA", at positions 1 to 673 of the family's 2925-position model. Lineage: Bacteria; Pseudomonadati; Pseudomonadota; Gammaproteobacteria; Vibrionales; Vibrionaceae. The record is from RNAcentral.
UUGUAUGGUUAAGUGACUAAGCGUACACGGUGGAUGCCUGGGCAGUCAGAGGCGAUGAAGGACGUACUAACUUGCGAUAAGCGCAGAUAAGGCAGUAAGAGCCGUUUGAGUCUGCGAUUUCCGAAUGGGGAAACCCAACUGCAUAAGCAGUUACUGUUAACUGAAUACAUAGGUUAACAGAGCAAACCGGGGGAACUGAAACAUCUAAGUACCCCGAGGAGAAGAAAUCAACCGAGAUUCCGGUAGUAGCGGCGAGCGAACCUGGAUUAGCCCUUAAGCACUCGGUGAAGUAGGUGAACAAGCUGGAAAGCUUGGCGAUACAGGGUGAUAGCCCCGUAACCGACGCUUCAUCGAGCGUGAAAUCGAGUAGGGCGGGACACGUGAUAUCCUGUCUGAAUAUGGGGGGACCAUCCUCCAAGGCUAAAUACUCCUGACUGACCGAUAGUGAACCAGUACCGUGAGGGAAAGGCGAAAAGAACCCCUGUGAGGGGAGUGAAAUAGAACCUGAAACCGUGUACGUACAAGCAGUAGGAGCACCUUCGUGGUGUGACUGCGUACCUUUUGUAUAAUGGGUCAGCGACUUAUAUUCAGUGGCAAGGUUAACCGUAUAGGGGAGCCGUAGCG